UCCUUGAUGGUCCAGUAGUUAGGACUUGGCACUUACAAUGCUGUGGGCCCAGGUUCAAUCCCUUGUUGGGGAA
This is a non-coding RNA of Cervus elaphus (red deer), 73 nucleotides long. NCBI's taxonomy places the organism in Eukaryota, Metazoa, Chordata, Mammalia, Artiodactyla, Cervidae. The record is from the annotation of a RefSeq genome assembly.